GAUGAACGCUGGCGGCGUGCCUAAUACAUGCAAGUCGAGCGAACAGACGAGGAGCUUGCUCCUCUGACGUUAGCGGCGGACGGGUGAGUAACACGUGGAUAACCUACCUAUAAGACUGGGAUAACUUCGGGAAACCGGAGCUAAUACCGGAUAAUAUAUUGAACCGCAUGGUUCAAUAGUGAAAGACGGUUUUGCUGUCACUUAUAGAUGGAUCCGCGCCGCAUUAGCUAGUUGGUAAGGUAACGGCUUACCAAGGCAACGAUGCGUAGCCGACCUGAGAGGGUGAUCGGCCACACUGGAACUGAGACACGGUCCAGACUCCUACGGGAGGCAGCAGUAGGGAAUCUUCCGCAAUGGGCGAAAGCCUGACGGAGCAACGCCGCGUGAGUGAUGAAGGUCUUCGGAUCGUAAAACUCUGUUAGUAGGGAAGAACAAAUGUGUAAGUAACUAUGCACGUCUUGACGGUACCUAAUCAGAAAGCCACGGCCAACUACGUG
Molecule: ribosomal RNA, 497 nt
Filed under: uncultured bacterium
Lineage: Bacteria
Description: partial 16S ribosomal RNA
Rfam family: Bacterial small subunit ribosomal RNA
Source: RNAcentral